Molecule: transfer RNA, 73 nt
Filed under: bacterium
Lineage: Bacteria
Description: tRNA-Val
Rfam family: tRNA
About the family: Transfer RNA (tRNA) molecules are approximately 80 nucleotides in length. Their secondary structure includes four short double-helical elements and three loops (D, anti-codon, and T loops).
Source: RNAcentral
GCGGGAUUAGCUCAGUUGGUAGAGCAACAUAUUUACACUAUGAAGGUCGGGGGUUCGAGCCCUCCAUCCCGCA